Molecule: ribosomal RNA, 253 nt
Filed under: uncultured bacterium
Lineage: Bacteria
Description: partial 16S ribosomal RNA
Rfam family: Bacterial small subunit ribosomal RNA
Source: RNAcentral
GACGGAAGGUGCAAGCGUUGCUCGGAAUUAUUGGGCGUAAAGGGCGCGUAGGCGGCCUGGUCAGUCGAAGGUGAAAUCCCCGAGCUCAACUUGGGAACUGCCUUCGAUACUGCCGGGCUUGAGUCCGGGAGGGGAGAGUGGAAUUCCCAGUGUAGCGGUGAAAUGCGUAGAUAUUGGGAGGAACACCAAUGGCGAAGGCAGCUCGCUGGGACGGUACUGACGCUGAGACGCGAAAGCGUGGGGAGCAAACAGG